This 993-nucleotide ribosomal RNA is filed under the name Oscillatoria sp. Ant-Pancreas. Its description in RNAcentral is "partial 16S ribosomal RNA". It matches the Rfam family "Bacterial small subunit ribosomal RNA", at positions 313 to 1313 of the family's 1533-position model. The record is from RNAcentral. Lineage: Bacteria; Bacillati; Cyanobacteriota; Cyanophyceae; Oscillatoriales; Oscillatoriaceae.
CUGGGACUGANACNCGGCCCAGACUCCUACGGGAGGCAUCANUGGGGAAUUUNCCGCAAUGGGCGAAAGCCNGACGGACCAAGGACCGCGUGGGGGAUNAANGCNCUNGGGUUGUNAACCCCUUUNCUCACGGAAGAANGAACUGACGGUACCUGANGANUNANCAUCGGCUUACUCCGUNCCAGCACCCGCGGUUNANACGGAGGANGCGNGCGUUAUCCGGAAUUAUUGGGCGUAAAGCGUUCGUANGUGGCUGUUCAAGUCUGCCNGUUAANAGACCGGGGCUUAACUCCGGAAAAACUGUGGAAACUGAACAGCUAGAGUAUGGUAGGGGUAAGGGGAAUUCCUGGUGUANCGGUGAAAUGCGUAGAUAUCAGGAAGAACACCGGUGGCGAANGCGCCUUACUGGGCCAUAACUGACACUGAGGGACGAAAGCUAGGGGAGCGAAAGGGAUUAGAUACCCCUGUAGUCCUACCUGUAAACAAUGGAUACUAGGUGUUGCCCGUAUCGACCCGGGCAGUGCCGUAGCUAACGCNUUAANUAUCCCGCCUGGGGAGUACGCACGCAANUGUGAAACUCAAANGAAUUGACGGGGGCCCGCACAAGCGGUGGAGUAUGUGGUUUAAUUCGAUGCAACGCGAAGAACCUUACCAGGGCUUGACAUGUCCAGAAUCUCGGGGAAAACCUGAAGANUGCCUUCGGGAGCUGGAACACAGGUGGUGNAUGGCUUGUCGUCAGCUCGUGUCGUGAGANNUGUUGGGUUAAGUCCCCCAACGAGCGCAACCUCGUCCUUAGUUGCCAUCAUUAAGUUGGGCACUUUAGGGAGACUGCCGGUGACAAACCGGAGGAAGGUGGGGAUGACGUCAAGUCAGCAUGCCCCUUACGUCCUGGGCUACACACGUACUACAAUGGGAAGGACAGAGGGUAGCAAGCGCGCGAGUGCAAGCCAAUCCCAUAAACCUUUCCUCAGUUCAGAUUGCAGGCUGCAACUC